RNAcentral lists this transfer RNA (73 nucleotides) under Candidatus Berkelbacteria bacterium. Its description in RNAcentral is "tRNA-Thr". It matches the Rfam family "tRNA". Rfam says of the family: Transfer RNA (tRNA) molecules are approximately 80 nucleotides in length. Their secondary structure includes four short double-helical elements and three loops (D, anti-codon, and T loops). Lineage: Bacteria; Candidatus Berkelbacteria. The record is from RNAcentral.
GCCACCUUAGCUCACUUGGUAGAGCGCAUCUUUCGUAAAGAUGAGGCACCGGGUUCGAAUCCCGGAGGUGGCU